GCCCCUAAAGGAUAACAGUAAUCCGUUGGUCUUAGGCACCAAAAACUCUUGGUGCAAAUCCAAGUAGCGGCU
Molecule: transfer RNA, 72 nt
Filed under: Coryphaena hippurus (common dolphinfish)
Lineage: Eukaryota; Metazoa; Chordata; Actinopteri; Carangiformes; Coryphaenidae
Description: tRNA-Leu
Rfam family: tRNA
About the family: Transfer RNA (tRNA) molecules are approximately 80 nucleotides in length.
Source: RNAcentral